RNAcentral lists this ribosomal RNA (432 nucleotides) under uncultured bacterium. RNAcentral's name for it is "partial 16S ribosomal RNA". It matches the Rfam family "Bacterial small subunit ribosomal RNA", at positions 338 to 795 of the family's 1533-position model. The record is from RNAcentral.
CCUACGGGAGGCUACAGUCGAGAAUUUUUCUCAAUGGGGGAAACCCUGAAGGAGCGACGCCGCGUGGAGGAUGAAGGCUUUCGGGUUGUAAACUCCUGUCAUUUGGGAACUAGUACCAGAAGAGGAAGGGACGGCUAACUCUGUGCCAGCAGCCGCGGUAAUACAGAGGUCCCAAGCGUUGUUCGGAUUCAUUGGGCGUAAAGGGUGCGUAGGUGGCGCCGUAAGUCGGGUGUGAAAUUUCGGAGCUUAACUCCGAAACUGCAUUCGAUACUGCGGUGCUUGAGGACUGGAGAGGAGACUGGAAUUCAUGGUGUAGCAGUGAAAUGCGUAGAGAUCAUGAGGAAGACCAGUGGCGAAGGCGGGUCUCUGGACAGUCCUGACACUGAGGCACGAAGGCCAGGGGAGCAAACGGGAUUAGAUACCCUUGUAGUC